AUGUGGAAGCAAUUUAUCGGCAAGCUGUCGUGGAAAUCGCUGAAAUCUGGCCCUGGCGGCGGCGGCGGUGGGGGCUCGCCCACGGCGAAGUCCAAUCCCAUGUCCCCCAGGGAGAAUGGGGCAUUCGGGAAGCCCCCCGCCUCGCCCAGGUCCCCCUCGGGGGCCGCCGGGGCCGAGGGGAGGUCCAGGGAGGACGCCUUCAUCGAGAAGGUGACCAUUUGCUGCACGGUGUACGACUUCACCGACCGGGGCAAGGACUCGCCGGAGAAGGAGAGGAAGCGGCAGGUCCUCAUGUCCCUCGUCGACUCCAUUGGCGCCGCCGAGGAGCCCCUCACGGAGGCCAUGAUGUCGGCGUGCGUGCGCAUGUUCGCUGUGAACCUCUUCAGGGUCUUCCCGCCCAAGGUCCGGUCAGGCAGCACCGCGUCGGAGACGGAGGAGGACGAGCCCUUCUUCGACCCCUCUUGGUACCACCUGCAAGUUGUGUAUGAAUUGCUUCUGCGGUUUGUGACCUCGCCAUUUGUUGACCCCAAGGUGGCUAGGAAGUAUGUGGACAGUAAAUUCAUCUCAAAGCUGCUUGACCUGUUUGAUUCUGAUGAUCCCAGAGAGAGGGACUGUUUGAAGACAGUGUUGCACAGGAUAUAUGGAAAAUUCAUGGGAAACCGACCGUUCAUCCGCAAGGCCGUGAGCAAUAUCUUCUAUAGGUUCGUCUCCGAGGCCGAUCAUCACAAUGGGAUAUCCGAGCUGCUGGAGGUGUUUGGCAGCGUGAUAAGUGGGUUUGCAAAGCCAUUGAAGGAGGAGCAUAAGUUGUUCCUAUGGAAAGCGUUGAUCCCACUUCACAAGCCUAAGACAGUGGGUGUAUAUCUGCCGCAGCUGACCUACUGCAUAACACAAUUUAUAGAGAAGGAACCCAAGCUUGCAGGAACUGUGAUUAGGGGUCUGUUGAAGUACUGGCCGGUUACAAAUAGUCAGAAGGAGAUGAUGUUCUUGGGGGAGUUAGAAGAAGUGCUUGAGUUGAUUGAUAUGGCUGAGUUUCAGAAGUGCAUGGUGCCAUUAUUCCGGAGGAUUGCGACUUGCCUCAAUAGCUCCCAUUUUCAGGUUGCUGAGAGAGCCUUAUUCUUGUGGAAUAAUGAACAUUUGUUCGAUAUGAUCUCCCAAAACCGUCAAGUGAUUGUGCCAAUCGUAUACCCAGCUCUGGAGAGAAAUGCACGUUUGCACUGGAACCAAUCGGUUCUCAACGUUACUAUGAAUGUGAGAAAAAUGUUCUUCGACAUGGACGAGAGAUUGCUUCUGUCUUGCCAGAGCAACUUCCAAGCGGACGAAGAGAAGCGAGCCGCGGCGGAGGAGCGUCGAAGGCUCACAUGGGAGCAACUGGAGCGGAACGCUGACCCUGCGUUCCAACCAGCCAAAGCGUCCCCUUCCGCAGCCCCUCCGAGAAUCCCCACCGUGACAUGA
RNAcentral lists this ribosomal RNA (1452 nucleotides) under Triticum aestivum (bread wheat). Its description in RNAcentral is "partial small subunit ribosomal RNA". The record is from RNAcentral. Lineage: Eukaryota; Viridiplantae; Streptophyta; Magnoliopsida; Poales; Poaceae.